Molecule: ribosomal RNA, 435 nt
Filed under: uncultured bacterium
Lineage: Bacteria
Description: bacterial SSU rRNA
Rfam family: Bacterial small subunit ribosomal RNA
Source: RNAcentral
UCGAGGAUCUUCGGCAAUGGGCGCAAGCCUGACCGAGCGACGCCGCGUGCGCGAUGAAGGCCUUCGGGUUGUAAAGCGCUGUCGGGGGGGAGGAAGCUCCGCAAGGGGUUGACCUAUCCCCGGAGGAAGCACGGGCUAAGUUCGUGCCAGCAGCCGCGGUAAGACGAACCGUGCGAACGUUGUUCGGAAUCACUGGGCUUAAAGGGCGCGUAGGCGGACCGCCAAGUCCGGGGUGAAAUCUUUCGGCCCAACCGGAAAAGUGCCUUGGAUACUGGCGGCCUUGAGCGAGGUAGGGGCAGCUGGAACUUCCGGUGGAGCGGUGAAAUGCGUUGAUAUCGGAAGGAACGCCGGUGGCGAAAGCGAGCUGCUGGACCUUUUCUGACGCUGAGGCGCGAAAGCCAGGGGAGCGAACGGGAUUAGAUACCCGCGUAGUCC